GGCGGCUGCAGCCCGCGCCGCGCUAUCUCCCGGGGCACUCGUGGGCACGCGCGCCGGCUCCUCUGUCAGUCACCUGCCUGUCAGCCCCGCAGCCGGGCUGCACCGGCGGCGAGCGGCGGCGGCGGACGGAGCCGCGCGGGGAGGAGGAGACGGCGGCGGCGGUGCUGGUGGUGGUGGUGGUGGUGGCUGCGGCGGCGGCGGCGGCGGCGGGCGGGCGGGGGAGGGGGUGGGGGUGCAGGGGCGGCCCCGCAGGCUGAGGGGGGGCGCGCGGGCGGCGCAGCGGGGUCCCGGGCGGGGCGCAGCGGGCCGCGGGCUUCCAGGCGCGCUCCCCGCGCUACCCCAGUGCCAUGGUGCGCCCGAGGAGCCGCUCGGUUUAGAGCUGUGGGGCCGGCGGCGGAGGGAUACCCCGGCCGGGAGCCGCCUCACCGCUCCUCAAACUUCCUGACAUUUGAACUCAUUGGUGCGCCUCGUAUCCCUGCGCCGGGAUGAGCCGGCGACUCCACGUCAAAUAGUGCCGUCGCUGCCCACCCCCCCACCUCUCCAACCCUCCCGCCCCCCGGCGGGAGGGCUCCCCGCGGCCCCCCGGCUUGAGCUCCCUGCGCUGCGCUGGGCCCCCGAGUGCGGACCCGGGCGCCCCCGGCCAGGCCGAGCGCCCCGCGGGUCCCUCGCAGAAGUUUGGGUCGCCUUCGAAACAAAUCCUUCUGCCCCACCCCCUUGAAAAAUUGAUUUGGGAGUUGGGGAAUGAAAGCUUUCUUUCUUUCUUUUUUUUUUCUUCCCUCUUCUUGCCUUCUUUAUUAUUAAUAUUUUGUAAAGCUUCAGUGCUAAGAGGAGUGGCCCUGAGAGAGGACAGACUCUUCACGGACGGCGGGGAGAGCAGCGGCUCCACCAGGAGACGGCGCCGACCCGCAGUGGCCGCCCGAGGGAGACCCCGACCGUCGGCCGAGAUGGCAAGGAUCCCAGUUCUGUGGGCUCCCAGUCUUCUCUGCAUCAGACGCUUUUACAGCUCUGACAUCAUGAGUUCUCAUGAUACCCAUAGAGGGCAGAGACUGUGAUCUCGGAAACUGAUUUCAUCAGCCUAGGAUGACACUAACCAGGAUCUUGCUAGUUCUCAGCAUCAGUCUCUUCACUCAGGAGACCUUGUACCUUGCAGGGCCCUAUCCUUCGAGGUGUUCCAGGGAGACCCUGAGGGGUGUGGAACGUGCACCCACAGGUAAGUCCUGGUUGUCAUUUUAUUUUGAAAAGAAAACAUAGCAUUGAUUUACUUGCAGAUGACAUGAUCAUCUAUGUAGAAAAAUCCAGUGUCAUCUACAAAAAAUGCUGCUAUAACUAAUAAGUGAGUUUAGUAAGGUUGCAAGAUACUACGUCAAAAUACAAAAAUCAGGACUUCCCUGGUGGGCCAGUGGUUAAGAAUCCACCUGCCAUUGCAGGGCACAGGGGCUCGAUCCCUGGUCCCAGAAGAUCCCACAUGCCGAGGGGCAACUAAGACCAUGAGCUACGACUACUGAGCCUACGCUCUGCAACAACUGAAGGCCAUGCACUGCAACUAGAGAAAGCCCACUCGGAUCAAUGAAGACCCAGUGCAGUCAAAAAUAAAUAAAUAAAUAUAUAUUUUACA
Molecule: long non-coding RNA, 1615 nt
Filed under: Bos indicus x Bos taurus (hybrid cattle)
Lineage: Eukaryota; Metazoa; Chordata; Mammalia; Artiodactyla; Bovidae
Description: lncRNA (ENSBIXG00000020377.1)
Source: RNAcentral